UACCUACGGGCGGCUGCAGUGGGGAAUUUUGCGCAAUGGGCGAAAGCCUGACGCAGCGACGCCGCGUGAGGGAUGAAGGUCUUAGGAUUGUAAACCUCUGUCAGGAAGCAUUAAAUGCACGGGUAUCAACACCACCCGUGCUUGACUUAACUUCCAGAGGAAGCCCCGGCUAACUACGUGCCAGCAGCCGCGGUAAUACGUAGGGGGCAAGCGUUACUCGGAUUUAUUGGGCGUAAAGAGAAUUAAGGCGGUCAUGUAAGUCAGUGGUGAAAUCCCCCGGCUCAACUGGGGAAUUGCCUUUGAUACUGCGUGACUUGAGGACAGGAGAGGAAGGCGGAAUUCCCGGUGUAGCGGUGGAAUGCGUAGAUAUCGGGAGGAACACCUGAGGCGAAGGCGGCUUUCUGGACUGGUCCUGACGCUGAUAUUCGAAAGCUAGGGGAGCAAACAGGAUUAGAUACCCCUGUAGUC
This 468-nucleotide ribosomal RNA is filed under the name uncultured bacterium. RNAcentral describes it as "bacterial SSU rRNA". It matches the Rfam family "Bacterial small subunit ribosomal RNA", at positions 335 to 795 of the family's 1533-position model. The record is from RNAcentral.